CGCCUGUUGUCAGAUUUUUCCCGCUGUUGCUGUUAAGUACUUGGGGAAAUUGAAGCUGAGUGAAACCACAUGAAAAUCAUCCAUUUUGAGGUCACUAGUGUUACUGUUUAGUAUCUCUGAACUUAAUUCUGAGAGCAAGGUGACACACGGAGCUGUGGGAAAGCUGCAUUGCUGCAGCAGGUCUCACACAGCGAAGCAAAAUGUGGGGAAUAAAACCUCACCGGAUACAAAGGUAGCCUGCAGUUGAGGGCUUUGCUUUUACCCAGUGCCUGAGAGGAAGUGCCACAGCAUCUGGGGACCUCGGUGGUCCCCGGCACUUGUGAUGUGUUUCCACACCUCUAGGACAGGGCCCUAGGCAGUUGGCACCAAUCCAGGCUGAUCCACUCUUAUUUCCCUGCUGACCUUGGGGGGAUCUGCUACAGAUGUCGCUGGUGUUUGCUGCAUCAGGAAGAUUGUCAGCAGGCCUCACUGGGAGUAGAUUAUGGGAAAGAAGACCCCCUAAGGUCAGAGAGUGGUGCUAUGAAAUCUCUACAAUAAUGCUUGGGCUGCGAUACACCAAAGAAGGAAGAAGAAAAGCAAGCUGAGAAAGAACCAGAUAUUUCCAGGCCUGAUCCCGCUGAAAGUUUCCCGUGAUGAAAGAAC
Molecule: long non-coding RNA, 642 nt
Filed under: Numida meleagris (helmeted guineafowl)
Lineage: Eukaryota; Metazoa; Chordata; Aves; Galliformes; Numididae
Description: lncRNA (ENSNMEG00000014986.1)
Source: RNAcentral